This 485-nucleotide ribosomal RNA is filed under the name uncultured Corynebacterium sp. RNAcentral's name for it is "partial 16S ribosomal RNA". The record is from RNAcentral. Lineage: Bacteria; Bacillati; Actinomycetota; Actinomycetes; Mycobacteriales; Corynebacteriaceae.
CACGUAGUUAGCCGGUGCUUCUUAUACAGGUACCGUCACUUGCGCUUCGUCCCUGUCGAAAGGAGUUUACAACCCGAAGGCCGUCAUCCCCCACGCGGCGUCGCUGCAUCAGGCUUCCGCCCAUUGUGCAAUAUUCCCCACUGCUGCCUCCCGUAGGAGUCUGGGCCGUAUCUCAGUCCCAAUGUGGCCGUACACCCUCUCAGGCCGGCUACCCGUCGACGCCUUGGUAGGCCAUUACCCCACAACAAGCUGAUAGGCCGCGAGCUCAUCUUGCACCGAAAAAACUUUCCAACCACCACACUAAAGACGGUUCCUAUCCGGUAUUAGACCCAGUUUCCCAAGCUUAUCCCAGAGUGCAAGGCAGAUCACCCACGUGUUACUCACCCGUUCGCCACUCGAGUACCAGUGCAAGCACUGGCCUUUCCGUCGACUUGCAUGCGUUAAGCACGCCGCCAGCGUUCGUCCUGAGCCAGGAUCAAACUACU